RNAcentral lists this ribosomal RNA (422 nucleotides) under uncultured bacterium. RNAcentral's name for it is "bacterial SSU rRNA". It matches the Rfam family "Bacterial small subunit ribosomal RNA", at positions 355 to 775 of the family's 1533-position model. The record is from RNAcentral.
UAGGGAAUAUUGGUCAAUGGAUGGAAGUCUGAACCAGCCAUGCCGCGUGCAGGAAGAAGGCCUUCUGGGUUGUAAACUGCUUUUGCCAGGGGCUAAAAAGCCCAUGCGUGGGAAAUUGAAAGUACCUGGUGAAUAAGCCACGGCUAACUACGUGCCAGCAGCCGCGGUAAUACGUAGGUGGCAAGCGUUGUCCGGAUUUAUUGGGUUUAAAGGGUGCGUAGGCGGCUUUGUAAGUCAGUGGUGAAAUACGGUAGCUUAACUAUCGAGGUGCCAUUGAUACUGCAGAGCUUGAGUACAGAUGAGGUAGGCGGAAUUGACGGUGUAGCGGUGAAAUGCUUAGAUAUCGUCAAGAACACCUAUAGCGAAGGCAGCUUACUAGGCUGUAACUGACGCUGAGGCACGAAAGUGUGGGGAUCAAACAG